Molecule: ribosomal RNA, 402 nt
Filed under: uncultured bacterium
Lineage: Bacteria
Description: bacterial SSU rRNA
Rfam family: Bacterial small subunit ribosomal RNA
Source: RNAcentral
UAUUGCGCAAUGGGGGCAACCCUGACGCAGCCAUGCCGCGUGAAUGAAGAAGGCCUUCGGGUUGUAAAGUUCUUUCGGUGAUGAGGAAGGAGGAUGUUUAAAUAGGGCAUUCAAUUGACGUUAAUCACAGAAGAAGCACCGGCUAACUCCGUGCCAGCAGCCGCGGUAAUACGGAGGGUGCGAGCGUUAAUCGGAAUAACUGGGCGUAAAGGGCACGCAGGCGGAUAAUUAAGUGAGAUGUGAAAUCCCCGAGCUUAACUUGGGAAUUGCAUUUCAUACUGGUUAUCUAGAGUCUUGUAGAGAGGGGUAGAAUUCCACGUGUAGCGGUGAAAUGCGUAGAGAUGUGGAGGAAUACCGGAGGCGAAGGCGGCCCCUUGGACAAAGACUGACGCUCAUUGCGAA